CUCGGGUUGGGUCUUCGGGUCCGGGUAAAAUGCCCAUGCCUACUUUAUUUUCUACUCCAAAAUAGAGUAACUCUAAAAUGGAAUUGAGUUUUGUUCCAAUGUAUUACUUCAUUUCCUACUCCAAAAUAGAAUAUUUUAAAUAUAUAUUAUGUUUUAUGUUUAUUAAAAAAUUAAUAAUAUCAUCUUUAAUUUAUACUAUUUGCAAAAUAGUCUAUUUUCAUAUGUAUGAUCUUUUAUGUUUUAUGUUAUAUAUCUUUUGUAUGGUGCUUAUCUUUUAUUUCCUACUCCAAAAUAGAAUAUUUUAAAUAUAUAUUAUGUUUUAUGUUUAUUAAAAAAUUAGUAAUAUCAUCUUUCAUUUAUACUAUUUGCAAAAUAGUCCAUUUUCAUACGUAUGAUCUUUUAUGUUUUAUAUUUUAUAUCUUUUGUAUGGUGCUUAUCUUUUAUUUUUUAUAUGUAUGGUCUUUUAUGUAUUAUAUUAUUAAUAUUUUGUUCCAUAAAAUAGUUCAUUAGAUGGAUAUUUAUAUAAUUAAGAAAUAUUAACAUUAAUUUUUAUAAUAUAUAUAGUAAAAUAAUAUUUAUAUAUUUAUUUAUAAUAAUAUUUUAUUAAAAACGAAAAUAUUUAGAUAUAGAGGACCAUUUUAUAAAUAAAAAAGUUCAACUCCAUUUUGGAGUAAUGAGUUGGUUCUCAUUACUCCAUAUUUGGAGUAAUCAUAUCUAUUACUCCAUUUUGGAAUGGGUUUUGGAGUGGGAUUGGAGAUGAUUUUACUGCAAAAUAGAAUUUAGAGUAGGGUUGGAGAUUCUCUUACUCCAUUUUGGAGUGGGUUUUGGAGUGGGGUUGGAGAUGAUUUUACUGCAAAAUAGAGUUUGGAGUAGGGUUGGAGAUGCCCUUACCCCAUUUUGGAAUGGGUUUUGGAGUGAGGUUGGAGAUGAUUUUACUGCAAAAUAGAGUUUGGAGUGGGUUUUGGAGUAGGGUUGGAGAUACCCUUAGACUUUAAUGUUUUGGUUUUCGAUUCGUUUCAGGUAUAUUGGUUUUUGAUUUUUUCUAUUCUAGAUAUUUACUAACCGUUCGGUUAUUUACAAUAUUCGGUUUGGCUUGUUUUGGUUAUUUAGGUUUCCAGAUAAAACAUAUGCGAUUAUUUAUGAAAUUCGGUUAUUUUGAUAUGGUACGGUUUGAUUCUUCGGUUCCGUAUAGUUUGAUUUUUCGGUUUCGGACGUGUUCAUAUCUAAGGUACAUCUCAUAGCCCAACACAACCAAAUGGUUUACAAGAACUGGCUAAAACACAUACAGUAAACUAUAGUCUAUAGACAAAUGUAUUUGUUGUCAAAUUCAUUACACGACCAAUCACUAGUUGUUACGAGGAAAGUAGGAGAGUGGCGUAAGUGUAAUAAAAGUACUGAACGGAGGUUAAUAACAAAGCCGCGAUGGGGGAAUGGUCAGAACUUAUAGAAGCUCGUAUAAUAAUACCAAAGGGCGUGGGAGAGAGGUCUGCGUAGGGAAACAGAGACAACAUCAUGACCUUUCUUUGCAUGCCUCUCCGUCUUAAAGCUGAAGCUACUUACAUUUCUCUCUUUUAUUUCCAUUUCGAAUUUUCAUUUUGUUUGUCAAUUCCAUUUCAAAUACUCCCUCCCUUUUCUUAAUUAUGAAAGUUACCCAAAUUUAUUAAAUUUAUCCAGAUAUUUUAAGCUAGUCUUCCAGAUUUAUAAUCUUUCUAUCACUUUUCGCUGAUUUUUUAAAUUAAAUAUUUUACAUUUAGUUAAUAACACCAAAUUUUAGAUACAGAAUAUAUUUAUCAGCAAUAUUUUGAUUUUUUUGAAUAACUAUUAAUUCACAACUAGAUUUUGAUCCGCGCUUAAGAAGCGCGGAUUUGAAGUUUUUAAUUUUUAAUAAAUUUUAAAUCUAGUAUAAUUUUUUUUUUUCACAUUAUAACUAUUGACUUUUAAGGUUUUUAUUAUCCAUUAUUUUUUAUAGUGUGAGAUUUAUUUGAAAUAGAUUUAAAGAUGAUAUGUAUGUUUUUAGUAGUAAAGAUAUUCAUUAUUAAAAAUAUAUAUUUUAAUUAUUGAACUGUAUUAACCAAUGUUUUGAAAAUCUGAUCGGACCUUACGAUCGAACCAGUCGGAUCCUGGCUCGCUCUUCUAACUGGUUCUGAAUUAUGCUAAAAACUGAAUUUGAGUUAAAUCAGAUCUAGUUCAAUAUUAAAACCCAGUUUUCGCAAAUCCAAGUUAAAAAUAAAAAAAAUUGCAAAUUUUAAUAAGAUUUCAUCAAAAUUUAAUAUUUUUUUCUACUACAUAUAUAAAUAAAUUAGUUUUAAAAUGGGACAUUAAUAUUUAAAAAUAUGUACAUUAAUAUUAAUCCGUUUGUUAUGACUAUUUCCUUAAGUUAUUUUCUGUAUUAAGAAAAUAAUAAUAAAAUCUUUAGGUAAAAUAUCGUUGUUAGUUACAAUACUUCUUUUUAUACAUUAAGGAAAUUAUGAGUUGAUGUAUGGAAUAUUACUUUGGCUUAAAAAUAGGCUGAAUUAUAUGGUGUUAGUUUAACUAAUAGGUCCAAACAACCUUGCAUAAGUAGAUUUUUUAAGAAUGCUUCCCUUUUAAUAGUAUAGAUUAUUGGAAAUUAGUUUUUUUUUAAUAAAAAUUAUACAUUUAUGUAUUGUGUACAAAAGGUUAUUUGGAAAAUAGAGAGACUAUUGUUUCUGCGAAAGGUUAUACAUUUAUGUAUUGUGUACAAAAGGUUAGUAGGCAUACCAUUUCAUCGUUGAAUCAUGAUGCAAUUGUCUACUUUGUUUUUUCCAAGUUUCCCAUUUUGCUGCGUGGUAUGGACUGAUACAAACGUGGAAUUGAUUGUAUUUCAGACAAAACCUUUGGACCUUUAACUUCAAUCUUCAAAUCAAGCCUAAAUUUAGCCCAGCACAUUUAAAUAAUCAAUAUCACGCAGGGGUAGUUGCAAACAUGAGGGGUAUUGCGUGUAGCACACUCGGUUUCAUUGUAGAUGGAAGUACAUAAGCUGCUCAGUAAGAGCUUAUGUUAUUUUCUUGGUUUUUAGAAGAUUCCAAUGAGCUAUGAAGAUUGUAGCUAUGGCAGAAACUGUGGCAGUACUGCCCAUAUAUGUAAUUGAAGUUACUUGUUAAACUAAUGCAAAUUGCAUAAACAUUUUUCAAAACUGCUCUUCCACGCACAAGGCAACAAUGCUGUCGUCAUCCUAUAAUACUUAAAACAAUGAACAAAGUAACAAGUAAAAAGUUAACAACCUAUUGCACUGUUUAAUGAAUCAUGCAUCACAAAGCUGCUUCCUUUAGCUCAUUAACGGGGACAUCAUCUACAUCCUCCUCAACCAUCUCAUCUCUAAACAAAAUCUUGAAAAUAUGGUAAACCUUGAGGAAGCACUUGCAAAUCCUCCGUGUUUAUACUCAUCAAAUCAAAAGCAAUGCAAGUAUAUUAUUAUGCAUCUUCUCACUCGUAAUUAUAGAAUAGCAACAAAAAAAAAAUAACAACGACUAGCAAACCCAUGAGAUAGGCCCAUAAGUUUUUUUUUGUCAUUGAUUCAACCUAACGGAAAAAGUGCCACGAAUACAAACUGCAAACAAAAUGAAAAAGACAAACACCAGUAGGUGCUUUUUAAAAGUAAACAAAACAGAAACUUCUGCAGAUGAAGCUAACCAAGGAAGCUUGAUUAGGGAAGACCUCCCGGGAGACUGUCUUGACCCAAGCUUCAUGUAGGAUGCUGGUUGAUAGUUGAAAUCACCUCAGCAAGGAUGAGGUCAGAUAACCAAGAUGGACCCCGUACGCCUAUUGUCACGAGUAACACUUUUGGCAAUCUCUUCAGCCGCUACAUUGCUUCUAUCAGGUAACAAGGACUAAUCCCUAACUGGGAUAGCAAAAACGUAUCUGGAAACACCAGCCACAUAUAUGGCCGGACAAACGCCACCACCGACGAACCAUUUAUCAAAACCUCCGUGAGAACGAGAGCUAUGGAUAUGAAACCACCAACUUGAGACUGGACCGGUGAAGAGAACUAAAACACCUUCCUUUCUCUAGCCUCAACCAAGAACACCAAAAAGUUGUAUUUGAGACCGUCAAACAACACAGCCGGACAAAAAAUAUGAGAAGAUGACGAAAUUGGAAUGGAGAAAAUAAACCACAUGAGAGAAAAUAUAAAAAGGAGGAAGAGCCUCCCGGCGGUGAGGAAGCCAAACCACCGGGGAAGCUAUGGAUCUAAGAAUGAAGGUCUUGGCGGCUGGGGACACUUCGAGAGAAAAAAGAUAGGCCCAUAAGUUUAGUGUAGAUAUUCUCAAAGCUGUCUUUGCCCCCAAGUUUUCUGUAUUUAUAAAAGUUUUAAAGGAAACCCUAAACCGAUCGAGUUCUUGCGUCUGUAGAUCUCUCUCUCGCUCUACCCAGUCUUCUGAAUUGAUAUGACAGAAUAUGAGUCGAAGCCGACGACGGGGGUGUGGUGGGACAUCAACACGUGUCUGGUUCCCGGAGGUUACGACCCUCGUCGUGUGCGUCCGAGUAUAGAAGCGGCGUUGUUCAAAUUGAUGGGUCCUCAUCCAGUGGUCAUCUAUUGCGUAGGCAACCUAGAAUAUAUCUCUCGUACUCUCUUGGAAGAGAUCUCUUCCUCUGGAAUCCGUUUUAAACACACCCCCUUCGGUGGGGUUGAAUUCAUCCGCCUUUUGAGAACUUGGUGUCAAGAGCCUGGACAUCCGUCUACAGUAUUUCUCAUAUCCGGUGAUGAAUCGUGGUAUACUCACAGAUUAGCCUGGUCGGGAUUCAGUUGGCUUCGUGCAUAUCCGGCCAGGUCCUGAGCCACUAUCAACUAAAGUUGACUGUCCUUCCGAAAAGUGGCUCUGGAAAGACUUACUUGAAGAGACUUGUGAAGAGCCUCCUCUGAAGAUAAGGAGCAGGAUACUUGAGUAUGAAAAGCCCUUUUAUUGCCGAGUGUGCAUGUUUUAUUUCUCGAGCUUUGAUGUUUUCAUCAGCCAUUUCAAGAGUAGACAACACAAUAAGGUGGUAUGCCAACUCCUACUCUCAGCUUUGUAUCAUUUACAUUUGUUACUUGUCUAACCAGUAGUAUGAUAAUAAUCUCAGUUUGGUAAGCAGUUGCUUCUCAGUGUGAUUCCUUUUGACAUUAACAAUUAUACUGACAAUACUUGCACACUUUGCCAGUAUCCAUAUUACAACGAUGCUAAUAGGAAGCUCCACUUCAACUUAACUUAGUUGCUUACAAACCAACUAGCUACUUUUAUUCUUCUUGUUGUGUAACUUCUAGUUACACAACCAAGUCUUCUUCAUUGACUUCUUGUUCUUCUUUCUUUCUUGCUCUUCACGCUUCUUCUACUUCUUUCUUUGUUUAUUGCACUUAGCUUCUUCUUAUUCUUCCAUUAUAGCUUCUUCGAAGCUACUCUUCUUUGUUCUUCUUCUCUUGGAUAUUUAAUCAUGGUUCAAUCUAAACAUUUUGACAUUAACAAUUAUCCUGACAAUACUUGCACACUUUGUUAGUAUCCAUAUUACAACGAUGCUAAUAGGAAGCUCCACUUGGAAAGUGAUGAACACAAAGAGGCCGCAGCAAGUGUCUCUCAUGAGAAGGCUUCCGUUGUCGUUUCCACUCAACACAAGUCAAGAAAAGGAUGGCUCCAACAGGAAGAUAACUUCAGGAGGUUGGUAGUUUGGAUUUGACCGUGUCAAUUUCUUAUCCGAAAUGUUUGAUUUCCGUUCUAGGUUAUGAGCCGAAGCCGACGACGGGGGUGUGGUGGGACAUCAACACGUGUCCGAUUCCCAAAGAUUAUGACCCUAGUCGUGUGCGUCCGAGUAUAAAAGCAUGAUACGGAGCAUGAUACUUGAGUAUGAAAUGCCCUUUUUUGCUCAGUAUGCACGUCUCAUUUCUCGAGCUUUGAUGUUUUCAUCAGCCAUCUUAAGAGUAGACAACACAAAAAGGAGUUGCUUCUCAGUGUGGUUCCUUUCUACUACAUUAACAAUUAUCCUGACAAUACACUUUGCGAGUAUCCAUAUUACAACGAUGCUAAUAGGAAGCUCCACUUGGAAAGUGAUGAACACAAAGCCGCCGCCGCCGCUGGUGUCUCUCAUGAGACAGAGGCUUCCCUUGUCGAUCCACUCAGCACAGGUCAAGAAAAGGAAGACGCCACCAGGAACAGAACUUCAGAAGAGCCUCUCUCGAAAGAGACUAAUUAAGAAGAAUAAUUAGUAAGGAACUAGACGAAGAAGAAGAGUGCAUGGUCCUAUGUCGUGUUGCUCUUAAUCCUAAAAUAGUACUCUCUGCGUUUUUAUUUUAAUUGUCAGUUAAACUUAUGAUGCUUUUUUCUACAUAUGGAGAUCGGAUAUAGUACCCUGUUAGUUUUGUUC
Molecule: long non-coding RNA, 6348 nt
Organism: Brassica napus (rape)
Lineage: Eukaryota; Viridiplantae; Streptophyta; Magnoliopsida; Brassicales; Brassicaceae
Exons: 6
Source: RefSeq, a predicted model, not a curated record